RNAcentral lists this ribosomal RNA (253 nucleotides) under uncultured bacterium. Its description in RNAcentral is "partial 16S ribosomal RNA". It matches the Rfam family "Bacterial small subunit ribosomal RNA", at positions 524 to 776 of the family's 1533-position model. The record is from RNAcentral.
UACGAAGGGGGCUAGCGUUGUUCGGAAUUACUGGGCGUAAAGCGCGCGCAGGCGGUCUUCCAAGUCAGUGGUGAAAGCCCGGAGCUCAACUCCGGAACUGCCAUUGAAACUGUUAGACUUGAGGACGAGAGAGGUGAGUGGAAUUCCCAGUGUAGAGGUGAAAUUCGUAGAUAUUGGGAAGAACACCGGUGGCGAAGGCGGCUCACUGGCUCGUAUCUGACGCUCAGGCGCGAUAGCGUGGGAAUCAAACAGG